This 513-nucleotide ribosomal RNA is filed under the name uncultured Bacillota bacterium. RNAcentral describes it as "bacterial SSU rRNA". It matches the Rfam family "Bacterial small subunit ribosomal RNA", at positions 392 to 896 of the family's 1533-position model. The record is from RNAcentral. Lineage: Bacteria; Bacillati; Bacillota.
CAACGCCGCGUGAGUGAUGAAGGUUUUUCGGAUCGUAAAGCUCUGUUGCCCUAGACGAACAGCAAGGAGAGUAACUGCUCUUUGUGUGACGGUAUAGGAGAAGAAAGCCCCCGGCUAACUACGUGCCAGCAGCCGCGGUAAUACGUAGGGGGCAAGCGUUGUCCGGAAUUAUUGGGCGUAAAGCGCGCGCAGGCGGUCAAUUAAGUUGGGUGUUUUAAGCCCGGGGCUCAACCCCGGUUCGCAUCCAAAACUGGUUGACUUGAGUGUAGGAGAGGAAAGUGGAAUUCCACGUGUAGCGGUGAAAUGCGUAGAGAUGUGGAGGAACACCAGUGGCGAAGGCGACUUUCUGGCCUAUAACUGACGCUGAGGCGCGAAAGCGUGGGGAGCAAACAGGAUUAGAUACCCUGGUAGUCCACGCCGUAAACGAUGCAUACUAGGUGUUGGGGAUUCGAUUCCUCGGUGCCGAAGUUAACACAGUAAGUAUGCCGCCUGGGGAGUACGCUCGCAAGAGUG